AAUCAUGGCUCAGGAUGAACGCUGGCGGCGUGCCUAACACAUGCAAGUCGAGCGAAGCACUUUGCUUAGAUUCUUCGGAUGAAGAGGAUUGUGACUGAGCGGCGGACGGGUGAAGUAACGCGUGGGUAACCUGCCUCAUACAGGGGGAUAACAGUUAGAAAUGACUGCUAAUACCGCAUAAGACCACAGCACCGCAUGGUGCGGGGGUAAAACUCCGGUGGUAUGAGAUGGACCCGCG
This 238-nucleotide ribosomal RNA is filed under the name uncultured bacterium. RNAcentral's name for it is "partial 16S ribosomal RNA". It matches the Rfam family "Bacterial small subunit ribosomal RNA", at positions 15 to 235 of the family's 1533-position model. The record is from RNAcentral.